CAGACUGUGCGGCAGCGUGGCGUUUGUCACGAGGAAAGUCCGGGCAUCACAGGGUGAGGAUAGCUGCUAACGGCAGCCGAAGGCGACUUCAGGGCUAGUGCAACAGAAAUAUACUUCCUGUUUCAGGUAAAGGUGGAAAGGCGAGGUAAGAGCUCACCGGAGCGUAGGAGACUAUGCUGCCAUGUAAACCCUAUCCGAUGUAACGUCUAUUGGUACCUGCUGUCAAUGUCGACCCGGCAGACAGUUCGGUAAUGGCGGCUUUAACGUGAGGGCGACCUCUCGUAUAGAUAAAUUGUCGCACUCGACAGAACUCGGCUUACAGGUCUGGUCA
RNAcentral lists this RNase P RNA (331 nucleotides) under uncultured Ruminococcus sp. RNAcentral describes it as "Bacterial RNase P class A". It matches the Rfam family "Bacterial RNase P class A". Rfam says of the family: Ribonuclease P (RNase P) is a ubiquitous endoribonuclease, found in archaea, bacteria and eukarya as well as chloroplasts and mitochondria. Its best characterised activity is the generation of mature 5'-ends of tRNAs by cleaving the 5'-leader elements of precursor-tRNAs. The record is from RNAcentral. Lineage: Bacteria; Bacillati; Bacillota; Clostridia; Eubacteriales; Oscillospiraceae.